This 460-nucleotide ribosomal RNA is filed under the name uncultured bacterium. Its description in RNAcentral is "partial 16S ribosomal RNA". It matches the Rfam family "Bacterial small subunit ribosomal RNA", at positions 338 to 795 of the family's 1533-position model. The record is from RNAcentral.
CCUACGGGUGACAGCAGUGAGGAAUAUUGGUCACUGGACGAGAGUCUGAACCAGCCAAGUAGCGUGAAGGAUGACUGCCCUAUGGGUUGUAAACUUCUUUUAUAUGGGAAUAAAAUGUUCCACGUGUGGGAUUUUGUAUGUACCAUAUGAAUAAGGAUCGGCUAACUCCGUGCCAGCAGCCGCGGUCAUACGGAGGAUCCGCGCGUUAUCCGGAUUUAUUGGGUUUAAAGGGAGCGUAGGUGGAUUGUUAAGUCAGUUGUGAAAGUUUGCGGCUCAACCGUAAAAUUGCAGUUGAAACUGGCAGUCUGGAGUACAGUAGAGGUGGGCGGAAUUCGUGGUGUAGCGGUGAAAUGCUUAGAUAUCACGAAGAACUCCGAUUGCGAAGGCAGCUCACUGGACUGCAACUGACACUGAGGCUCGAAAGUGUGGGUAUCAAACAGGAUUAGAUACCCCAGUAGUC